Anopheles funestus (African malaria mosquito) is the source of this 1358-nucleotide long non-coding RNA. RefSeq lists it as uncharacterized. NCBI's taxonomy places the organism in Eukaryota, Metazoa, Arthropoda, Insecta, Diptera, Culicidae. The record is from RefSeq and is a predicted model, not a curated record. The transcript is spliced from 3 exons.
CUCGGCUAAUGUGUCUUGGCUAAUGUGUCUUGUCUAAGGUGUCUUGGCUAAUGUGUCUUGGCUAAUGUGUCUUGGCUAAGGUGUCUUGGCUAAGGUGUCUUGGCUAAGGUGUCUUGGCUAAUGUGUCUUGGCUAAUGUGUCUUGGCUAAGGUGUCUUGGCUAAGGUGUCUUGGCUAAUGUGUCUUGGCUAAGGUGUCUUGGCUAAGGUGUCUUGGCUAAUGUGUCUUGGCUAAGGUGUCUUGACUAAUGUGUCUUGGCUAAUGUGUCUUGGCUAAGGUGUCUCGGCUAAGGUGUCUUGGCUAAGGUGUCUUGGCUAAUGUGUCUUGGCUAAUGUGUCUUGGCUAAUGUGUCUUGGCUAAUGUGUCUUGGCUAAUGUGUCUUGGCUAAUGUGUCUUGGCUAAGGUGUCUUGGCUAAGGUGUCUUGGCUAAGGUGUCUCGGCUUAUGUGUCUUGGCUGAUGUGUCUUGGCUAAUGUGUCUUGGCUAAGGUGUCUUGGCUUAUAUGUCUUGGCUAAUGUGUCUUGGCUAAUGUGUCUUGGCUAAGGUGUCUUGGCUAAUGUGUCUUGGCUAAUGUGUCUUGGCUAAUGUGUCUUGGCUAAUGUGUCUUGGCUAAGAUGUCUUGGCUUAUGUGUCUCGGCUAAUGUGUCUUGGCUCAUGUGUCUCGGCUAAUGUGUCUUGGCUAAUGUGUCUUGGCUAAGGUGUCUUGGCUAAGGUGUCUUGGCUAAGGUGUCUUGGCUAAUGUGUCUUGGCUAAUGUGUCUUGGCUAAUGUGUCUUGGCUAAUGUGUCUUGGCUAAUGUGUCUUGGCUAAUGUGUCUUGGCUAAGGUGUCUUGGCUAAUGUGUCUUGGCUAAUGUGUCUUGGCUAAUGUGUCUUGGCUAAGGUGUCUCGGCUAAUGUGUCUUGGCUAAUGUGUCUUGGCUAAUGUGUCUUGGCUAAUGUGUCUUGGCUAAUGUGUCUUGGCUAAUGUGUCUUGGCUAAUGUGUCUUGGCUAAGGUGUCUUGGCUAAGGUGUCUUGGCUAAUGUGUCUUGGCUAAUGUGUCUUGGCUAAUGUGUCUUGGCUAAUGUGUCUUGGUUAAUGUGUCUUGGCUAAUGUGUCUUGGCUAAUGUGUCUUGGCUAAUGUGUCUUGGCUAAGGUGUCUUGGCUAAGGUGUCUUGGCUAAUGUGUCUUGGCUAAUGUGUCUUGGCUAAGGUGUCUUGGCUAAGGUGUCUUGGCUAAUGUGUUUUGGCUAAUGUGUCUUGGCUAAUGUGUCUUGGCUAAUGUGUCUUGGCUAAUGUGUCUUGGCUAAUGUGUCUUGGCUAAGGUGUCUUGGCUAAUGUCUCUUGGCUAAGGUGUCUUGGCUAAGGUGUCUUGGCUAAUGUGU